This 492-nucleotide ribosomal RNA is filed under the name uncultured bacterium. RNAcentral's name for it is "partial 16S ribosomal RNA". It matches the Rfam family "Bacterial small subunit ribosomal RNA", at positions 29 to 507 of the family's 1533-position model. The record is from RNAcentral.
AGUGAACGCUGGCGGUAGGCCUAACACAUGCAAGUCGAACGGCAGCACAGUAAGAGCUUGCUCUUACGGGUGGCGAGUGGCGGACGGGUGAGGAAUACAUCGGAAUCUACUUUUUCGUGGGGGAUAACGUAGGGAAACUUACGCUAAUACCGCAUACGACCUACGGGUGAAAGCAGGGGAUCUUCGGACCUUGCGCGAUUGAAUGAGCCGAUGUCGGAUUAGCUAGUUGGCGGGGUAAAGGCCCACCAAGGCGACGAUCCGUAGCUGGUCUGAGAGGAUGAUCAGCCACACUGGAACGGAGACACGGUCCAGGCUCCUACGGGAGGCAGCAGUGGGGAAUAGUGGACAAUGGGCGCAAGCCUGAUCCAGCCAUACCGCGUGGGUGAAGAAGGCCUUCGGGUUGUAAAGCCCUUUUGUUGGGAAAGAAAAGCAGCAGGUUAAUACCCCGCUGUUCUGACGGUACCCAAAGAAUAAGCACCGGCUAACUUCGUG